RNAcentral lists this ribosomal RNA (397 nucleotides) under uncultured bacterium. Its description in RNAcentral is "bacterial SSU rRNA". It matches the Rfam family "Bacterial small subunit ribosomal RNA", at positions 362 to 776 of the family's 1533-position model. The record is from RNAcentral.
UAUUGCACAAUGGGGGAAACCCUGAUGCAGCGACGCCGCGUGAGCGAAGAAGUAUUUCGGUAUGUAAAGCUCUAUCAGCAGGGGAGAAGAUGACGGUACCUGACUAAGAAGCUCCGGCUAAAUACGUGCCAGCAGCCGCGGUAAUACGUAUGGAGCAAGCGUUAUCCGGAUUUACUGGGGGUAAAGGGAGCGUAGGCGGCCUGGCAAGUCUGGUGGGAAAUACCGGGGCCCAAACCCGGGACUGCAUUGGAAACUGCCAGGCUGGAGUGUCGGAGGGGCAGGCGGAAUUCCUAGUGUAGCGGUGAAAUGGGUAGAUAUUAGGAAGAACACCGGUGGCGAAGGCGGCCUGCUGGACGACAACUGACGCUGAGGCUCGAAAGCGUGGGGAGCAGACAGG